This is a non-coding RNA of Triticum urartu, 673 nucleotides long. The record is from RefSeq and is a predicted model, not a curated record. NCBI's taxonomy places the organism in Eukaryota, Viridiplantae, Streptophyta, Magnoliopsida, Poales, Poaceae.
GGUCCUGAAUCACGUCUCUCGUACGAUACCGUCAUACAAAUUAUGUUAUAUGGUUGUUUAGUAAUUAUGUCCCGAAAGUUGUGUACAUGUGAACUCCUUGGUAAUUAGUUUGUUGUUUUUCUCUUCCUGAAUGGCAGUCAUUAAUUAAGGCCAAGGAAUGGCUUGUGGAUCUUGUUGAGAUAAGUUUGGAAACCGGCAAGAUGAGUGAAGCGGAACUGACUCAAUCUGCCUCUAACAAAGGUGGUCCGGUUACUCCAGUCUCACGGACUAAUCUUGCUACCUUCAAAGUGGUUACUAAUCGUACAUUAUUCCGCAAGGCAAAAGAAUGGAUGGUAUAUUUUACAGAGGAAUGUUUGAAAGCUUGGCCAGACGCGAGUCAAGAUGAUCUACAUCAACUUUUCUGCAAGGAUGGUGAUCCUGAUGGCACAGUCUCCCGUACAGUGCCUGGUAGCUUGACUAGUCUUGCUGAAAAUUCAGCGAUUGCAUAAGUCAAAAAGCCAGAUGCUCUAUUCUCGCCAACCAUGCUUGGUACCUUGACAAAUCCUGCUGAAGACUCUGGGAUGUCAUCAGUGACAAAUGCAGGUGCAUAUAAACCUUUGAGUGAAGAAUAUUUUUCCAGUUCAAGGAAGAAUCCAAGGAUGGAACUGGCAACUAUUAGACAAGAUUUUGAUCC